UAGUAAAUAAAAAAAAUGUGAAGUUGAGAGCUCUGUUAGUUAAUUCGCGAAUAAUUCACGAAUUAUUCGUGAUUUUUGAAGAAACAAAUUAAACUCCCGUUCCCGUAUUUUUCUAAAAAAAUCGAAAAAAAACGGAUGUUUUUCGUCAAAAAUAAUUAUUCGCGAAUCAUUCACGAUUCGCGAAUCAUUCGCCCAAAAAAUCGGCGGUCGCGCUCGCGGUCGCGGACUCGCGUCGUCGCCCUCUCGUCGCCGAACUCCUCCGCUGCCCUAGCCGGCGACGACGCAUCUCGUCGCCGAACUCCUCCGCCACCCUGACCAGCGUCGGGAGCAAGAGCGCC
RNAcentral lists this long non-coding RNA (338 nucleotides) under Ananas comosus (pineapple). RNAcentral describes it as "long non-coding RNA (ACOM_LNC033520)". The record is from RNAcentral. Lineage: Eukaryota; Viridiplantae; Streptophyta; Magnoliopsida; Poales; Bromeliaceae.